This 579-nucleotide ribosomal RNA is filed under the name uncultured bacterium. RNAcentral's name for it is "bacterial SSU rRNA". It matches the Rfam family "Bacterial small subunit ribosomal RNA", at positions 102 to 682 of the family's 1533-position model. The record is from RNAcentral.
ACGGGUGAGUAAUACGUAGGAACCUAUCCUUAAGAGGGGGACAACCAAGGGAAACUUUGGCUAAUACCGCAUAAUCUUUUAGGAGGAAAGUUGCCAGCAAUGGUGACGUUUAAGGAGGGGCCUGCGUCCGAUUAGCUAGUUGGAGAGGUAAGAGCUCACCAAGGCGAUGAUCGGUAACUGGUCUGAGAGGACGACCAGUCACACUGGGACUGAGACACGGCCCAGACUCCUACGGGAGGCAGCAGUGGGGAAUAUUGGACAAUGGGGGCAACCCUGAUCCAGCGAUGCCGCGUGGGUGAAGAAGGCCUUCGGGUUGUAAAGCCCUUUAGGUUGGGAAGAAGAUUUCGUGGUGAUAAGCCACGGAUGAUGACGGUACCGACAGAAUAAGCACCGGCAAACUCUGUGCCAGCAGCCGCGGUAAUACAGAGGGUGCGAGCGUUAAUCGGAGUUACUGGGCGUAAAGGGUGCGUAGGCGGUGGAAUGAGUGUGAUGUGAAAGCCCCGGGCUUAACCUGGGAAGCGCAUCGCAACGAUUUCACUGGAGUAUUAGAGAGGGUGGCGGAAUUUCCGGUGUAGCGGU